This is a long non-coding RNA of Olea europaea var. sylvestris, 606 nucleotides long. RefSeq lists it as uncharacterized. The transcript is spliced from 3 exons. The record is from RefSeq and is a predicted model, not a curated record. Lineage: Eukaryota; Viridiplantae; Streptophyta; Magnoliopsida; Lamiales; Oleaceae.
AUGGGUAUCUUCCACUAAAUCCUCCUCCUUCUUCAGUCGGAUCCGUGACAUCCAUCUCUGUGCAAUCCCCCCAAGAAUCCAAAUCCAAAAUUUUCAAUUUCAAAACAUUUAGGCAUAUGAUGGGGCGAUGAAGCGUGAUUGGAACAUUCUGAAAAACAAAGAGAAUUCAAUAUAGCCCCAGAGCACAUCUCCAAGUGGUAAAAGGGGAGGGUGGAGAAAUCCAGUUUUGUUUGAGGCUGCUGCGUCAAGGGUUCGAAUCCUGAAAUAUGGAUUUGACUUUUGGGUAAGUGCAAGUAUACAAGCAGCUUUCCACCCUGUAUUCUUGGAGGCAUAACCUGCGAUUUAUCUCCCUCACGAUGCUUCAAGGUAGGAGCGGUGGGAGACCCUUAAGGUUGGGAUUCAACCUUUUUAGAGAAUUCAAUAUACAUAACAAGUAGCAGAAAUGGUCUGCGUGCAUCCACUUUAUGUCAUAAAUUGAACAGGAGUUAUGUUGGGGUGAAAAGAUAGGCUUUUGUUCAUAUCUCUGUGUUGUGCUAUUUGUUUCACUAGUAACAAGGUUAAAGUAUCUUUUGACCAUGCAUGAAUAACUUUUAUAUGUUGAUUUUA